AAAUUGAAGAGUUUGAUCAUGGCUCAGAUUGAACGCUGGCGGCAGGCCUAACACAUGCAAGUCGAACGGUAACAGGAAACAGCUUGCUGUUUCGCUGACGAGUGGCGGACGGGUGAGUAAUGUCUGGGAAACUGCCCGAUGGAGGGGGAUAACUACUGGAAACGGUAGCUAAUACCGCAUAACGUCGCAAGACCAAAGAGGGGGACCUUCGGGCCUCUUGCCAUCGGAUGUGCCC
This 235-nucleotide ribosomal RNA is filed under the name Shigella flexneri. Its description in RNAcentral is "partial 16S ribosomal RNA". It matches the Rfam family "Bacterial small subunit ribosomal RNA", at positions 1 to 232 of the family's 1533-position model. The record is from RNAcentral. Lineage: Bacteria; Pseudomonadati; Pseudomonadota; Gammaproteobacteria; Enterobacterales; Enterobacteriaceae.